CUUGUCUGCCGGCUCGUGGUCGCUGGCCGCCUCGGGUCCAGGCCCUCCUCCUCCUCGGCGUCUGGCUACUGCGCACGCUGAGCCUGGCCCGCUGGGGGUUGUCACGGGGUGGGGACCGGGCAGCAGGUGGCACAGUCCCCAAGCGCUCAGCUGGGCUGGAGCUACUGUGGGGGUGCAGGGAGAGCCCAGGCUGGGGCUCAGCCCAGACGGAGGGGACGAGUUAACCUCGGGAAGAGGAGCUGAGGCUGCGGGCGGGGGAGGGGUCCCACUCUGGGCCGGGCCGCCCUCUGUCCUUGAGUCCCGCUCUCCCGGACGCAGCGCAUGGGCUGCCCUCGGGCGCCUCUGUUCAGCCUCCUGACCUCACGGCCGCAGCCUGACGUGUCCCUGGAGUCGGUGGCACCAGCCACACCGAGGAAAGACUUCACCUCCCUCCCAUCUCCUCCCCUGCCAGCUCCCUCCUUCCCCCCUCCCCCACAGAAAGUUCCUGAGCAUCUUAAUCCGAGACCCAGACAAUGACGCAGGACUCGUAGACAGGGUCACACCCACGGCUCUGCAGACCUGAGCCGCUGCAGACAGGUUCUCAACCCGUUGUGCCACAGCAGGAACUCCGAUGACACGUUCUUUUGCUGAAUCCUCAGGAAGUCAGAAUGGGGAGGCUGGCUCCAGUUCACAGGUGGACGGUGGUCGCGCCACCAAGGGCCUGUCCUUCGUGUGUCUAGUGGCCCGUGCAGGCUGCUGUUGACCCAGUGACCUGUCUGCUCACGCCUCUUCACUCGUAUCAGGAAUGUUUUCUGACGUCUCCCCCAAGUCCCCCGAAGUUACAAAGCUAACCUUGGUUCUCGGACUUUCCUGGACCCGGUAGGACAAGUGCUCGUCCCUUGCUUCAGGCCAAACAGCCCCCAGCCCUCUGAGUCCUGCUUCUCUGCCUCCCUGGGGCUUGGAUGGAAACCCACAGAUCAAGCAAAAGCAGAAGUUUUGAGGCCUCAAAGAAUUUUUUUAAAAUCUUUGAAACAAAGAAGUUUUGGAGGCUGUAACGCAAAAAAAAAAAAAAAAUCCCCCUGUGGCUGCUGCUAAGUUUUGGCCUCUGGCUUGAGUCUCGAGCUCCCCCUUGGGCUUGAGAAAGAGACAGAGGGUGGCCGGGGCUGUACCCCUGCCCCAGGGCAAGAGCCGGGGUGGAGAGGCCACUUGAAUCUGUGGGAGGUGGGGGCAUGGGCCCCUCUGCCCCCCAGCCCCCCCAGCCCCCUGUCCCACCUCAGCUCCCCCGGGAGCCUGCGCAGCUGAGUUUCCUUCCUGUGACCCGAGUUGUUUGUCCUGUCUCUCGUUUUCAGGGCGCUCACCCUCUGUCCCCAUCACUCUCUCUCUCGGGGCUCUAGUCCAAACCAUCCCUUCCUCAGUGUAGUGGAAGGUUUGGGCCAUUGUUUCCAAGGGCCUGGUCACUUUAGAGCCACUGUCACCGUUCCGCAUGUUUUUUGUACCCUUCCCCACUUGCUGUCUUUUAAUCUAUGUCCUGCACUAAUAACUGUAUUUUAAAUGACCGCGAUGAUAAGUGGAAAACCAGCUUCCCUCACUAUAAAUAGAAGGAAACAAUAGCCAU
This is a non-coding RNA of Sus scrofa (pig), 1594 nucleotides long. NCBI's taxonomy places the organism in Eukaryota, Metazoa, Chordata, Mammalia, Artiodactyla, Suidae. The record is from RefSeq and is a predicted model, not a curated record.